This 75-nucleotide transfer RNA is filed under the name Thermoplasmatales archaeon. RNAcentral describes it as "tRNA-Glu". It matches the Rfam family "tRNA". From Rfam's summary of the family: Transfer RNA (tRNA) molecules are approximately 80 nucleotides in length. Their secondary structure includes four short double-helical elements and three loops (D, anti-codon, and T loops). Further hydrogen bonds mediate the characteristic L-shaped molecular structure. tRNAs have two regions of fundamental functional importance: the anti-codon, which is responsible for specific mRNA codon recognition, and the 3' end, to which the tRNAs corresponding amino acid is attached (by aminoacyl-tRNA synthetases). tRNAs cope with the degeneracy of the genetic code in two manners: having more than one tRNA (with a specific anti-codon) for a particular amino acid; and 'wobble' base-pairing, i.e. permitting non-standard base-pairing at the 3rd anti-codon position. The record is from RNAcentral. Lineage: Archaea; Methanobacteriati; Thermoplasmatota; Thermoplasmata; Thermoplasmatales.
GCUCCCGUAGUGUAGCCCGGCCAAUCAUUUCGGCCUUUCGAGCCGAAGACCCGGGUUCAAAUCCCGGCGGGAGCA